GUCCCCAUAGCUCAGCUGGAUAGAGCAUCCCCCUCCUAAGGGGAAGGCCGUAGGUUCGACUCCUACUGGGGACGCCA
RNAcentral lists this transfer RNA (77 nucleotides) under Shigella flexneri. RNAcentral's name for it is "tRNA-Arg". It matches the Rfam family "tRNA". Rfam says of the family: Transfer RNA (tRNA) molecules are approximately 80 nucleotides in length. Their secondary structure includes four short double-helical elements and three loops (D, anti-codon, and T loops). RNAcentral also lists the same sequence under 1 other name. The record is from RNAcentral. Lineage: Bacteria; Pseudomonadati; Pseudomonadota; Gammaproteobacteria; Enterobacterales; Enterobacteriaceae.